Molecule: long non-coding RNA, 227 nt
Filed under: Elaeis guineensis (African oil palm)
Lineage: Eukaryota; Viridiplantae; Streptophyta; Magnoliopsida; Arecales; Arecaceae
Description: long non-coding RNA (EGUI_LNC035067)
Source: RNAcentral
AUUGAUAAUGGACCAUGUUAGCAAUUGAUCAAAUCUAAUUAAAAGUUAAUUCUGAUUGGAUCAAUUUCUUCUCUUGAUCAAUUUCAAUAGUUGUAGUUGGUCAAGUUCAUAUCUUUGAUUAGACUAAUAUGGAUUUUGAUCGUAGCUCCAUGGUCGAACCCAAGUCUAUAAGUUGAUUAAAUUGAAAAUGACUAACCAGUUGGUAUCUAAGAUAAGUAUGGCAGCUU